CCUACGGGAGGCAGCAGUGGGGAAUUUUGCACAAUGGGGGAAACCCUGAUGCAGCGACGCCGCGUGGAGGAUGAAGGCCUUCGGGUUGUAAACUCCUUUUGUAGGGGAAAAUAAUGAUGGUACCCUAUGAAUAAGCCACGGCUAACUCUGUGCCAGCAGCCGCGGUAAGACAGAGGUGGCGAGCGUUGUUCGGAAUUACUGGGCGUAAAGCGCGUGCAGGCGGGGAAGCAAGUCUGAUGUGAAAGCCCUGGGCUUAACCUGGGAAGUGCAUUGGAAACUGUUUUUCUUGAGUACUGGAGAGGAAGGGAGAAUUCCCGGUGUAGAGGUGAAAUUCGCAGAGAUCGGGAGGAACACCAGUGGCGAAGGCGCCCUUCUGGACGGUUACUGACGCUGAGACGCGAAAGCGUGGGGAGCAAACAGGAUUAGAUACCCUGGUAGUCCACGCUGUAAACGAUGAUCACUAGGUGUAGUGGGUAAUCAUUCCUGCUGUGCCGUAGCUAACGCGUUAAGUGAUCCGCCUGGGGAUUACGGUCGCAAGACUAAAACUCAAAGGAAUUGACGG
RNAcentral lists this ribosomal RNA (562 nucleotides) under uncultured bacterium. RNAcentral describes it as "bacterial SSU rRNA". It matches the Rfam family "Bacterial small subunit ribosomal RNA", at positions 338 to 916 of the family's 1533-position model. The record is from RNAcentral.